This 1215-nucleotide long non-coding RNA is filed under the name Carica papaya (papaya). RNAcentral's name for it is "long non-coding RNA (CPAP_LNC015158)". Lineage: Eukaryota; Viridiplantae; Streptophyta; Magnoliopsida; Brassicales; Caricaceae. The record is from RNAcentral.
CUCGUUCUAAUAUCAAGUAAAAUACCACGGCGCCUUGACUCACAUUUGCGAAUAAACCUGCGGACCAUAAAUCAAGUCGCGCGUAACGUCGAAAGAAUCAUCUGCAAAAAGAUCGGUGCAACACGAGGACCUCCCAAGAAAAUGGGUGAAAUAUAAGGACUUCUCAGGAGGUCACCCAUGCUAGUACUACUCUCGCCCAAACACCCUUACCUACGGAGUUCCGAUAGAAUCCAUUGCAUUAGUGCUGGUAUGAUCGCACCUGUUUCAUUAUGCACUGCAAAUACAUACACUCUUUCUCCUUCCAUCCCCCCUCCCGUCAUUUGUUUCCUUGUGCGUGCACUCUGCAUCUCUCUUUCUCGUUCUAAUAUCAAGUAAUAUGCCCCGGCACCGUGACUCACCUUUGCAAAUGAACCAGCGGUUUAUACCUUUCGCGCGUAACGUCGAACAACCCAUCCGAAAAAAAAUAGGUACAACACGAGGGCUUCCAAAGUGGUCACCCAUCCGAGUACUACUCUCGCCCAAGCACACUUAACUGCGGAGUUCUGAUGGGAUCCGGGGCUUUAUUACUGGUAUGAUCACACCUGUUUAAUUUCUCGCUGCAAAUACAUACACUCCUUCUUCUUUCUUCCCCCUCCCGUCAUUUGUUUCCUUGUGCGUUCACACUUCACCUCUCAUUCUCGUUCUAAUAUCAAUUAAAAUGCCCCUACUUCUUGACUCACAUUUGCGUAUAAACCAGCGGAUCCUAGUUCCAGACGCGCGUAACGUCGAACGACCCGUCUGAAAAAAAAUUGGUGCGACACGAGGACUUCCCGGGAGGUCACCCAUCCGAGUACUAAUCUCGCCCAAGCACACUUAACUGCGGAGUUCUGAUGGGAUCCGGUGCAUUAAUGCUGGUAUGAUCGCACUUAUUUAAUUUUGCGCUGCAAAUACAUAAACUCAUUCCCUUUUCUUCCCCCUCCCGUCAUUUGUUUCCUUGUGCGUGCGAACUGCACCUCCCGUUCUCGUUCAAAUAUCAAGUAAAAUGCCACGGCGCCGUGACUCACAUUUGCGAAUAAACCUGCGGACCAUAAUUCAAGUCGCGCGUAACGUCGAAAGAAUCAUCUGCAAAAAAAUGGGUGCAACACGAGGACUUCCUAAGAAAAUGGGUGAAAUAUAAGGACUUCGCAGGAGGUCACCCAUCCUAGUACUUUUCUCGCCAAAGCACCCUUAACUGCG